This 348-nucleotide ribosomal RNA is filed under the name uncultured eukaryote. RNAcentral's name for it is "SSU rRNA". It matches the Rfam family "Eukaryotic small subunit ribosomal RNA", at positions 594 to 945 of the family's 1831-position model. The record is from RNAcentral.
AAAGCAUAUAUUAAAGUUGUUGCAGUUAAAAAGCUCGUAGUUGAAUUUUAGGCUUGGUUGGACGGUCUGCCUUAGGGUUUGUACUGUCCUGGCUGGGUCUUACCUUCUGGUAAACUGUCGUGUCGUUUAUUCGGCGCGGCAGGGAACCAGGACUUUUACUUUGAAAAAAUUAGAGUGUUUAAAGCAGGCUUCUCGCUUGAAUACAUUAGCAUGGAAUAAUAGAAUAGGACUUUUGGUUCUAUUUUGUUGGUUUCUAGGACCGAAGUAAUGAUUAAUAGGGAUAGUUGGGGGCAUUAGUAUUUAAUUGUCAGAGGUGAAAUUCUUGGAUUUAUGAAAGACUAACUUCUG